Molecule: transfer RNA, 90 nt
Filed under: Planomonospora antibiotica
Lineage: Bacteria; Bacillati; Actinomycetota; Actinomycetes; Streptosporangiales; Streptosporangiaceae
Description: Planomonospora parontospora subsp. antibiotica tRNA-Pro
Source: RNAcentral
GGCCGGUGAGGUGGUGGAGCGGCACACCGGGCGGGAGCUGGUGGUGGGCUGGCUGGGGUUCGCCCCGGGGUUCGCCUACCUCACCGGCCU